GCGCAGUCGUUGGCGGCAGGCUGGGGACUACGGGGGGUGCGAGCGUUGUGCGGUAUUACUGUGCGUAAAGGGCUCGUAGGCGGCCAACUAAGUCAGACGUUAAAUCCCUCGGCUUAACCUGGGAACGGCGUCUGAUACUGGAUGGCGUGAGGUUGGGAGAGGGAUGCGGAAUUCCAGGUGUAGCGGUGAAAUGCGUAGAUAUCUGGAGGAACACCGGUGGCGAAGGCGGCAUCCUGGACCAAUUCUGACGCUGAGGAGCGAAAGCCAGGGGAGCAAACGGGAUUAGAUACCCUAGUAGUC
This 300-nucleotide ribosomal RNA is filed under the name uncultured Archaeoglobus sp. RNAcentral describes it as "bacterial SSU rRNA". It matches the Rfam family "Bacterial small subunit ribosomal RNA", at positions 496 to 795 of the family's 1533-position model. Lineage: Archaea; Methanobacteriati; Methanobacteriota; Archaeoglobi; Archaeoglobales; Archaeoglobaceae. The record is from RNAcentral.